CCUACGGGUGGCAGCAGUGGGGAAUAUUGCACAAUGGGCGCAAGCCUGAUGCAGCCAUGCCGCGCGUAUGAAGAAGGCCUUCGGGUUGUAAAGUACUUUCAGCGAGGAGGAAGGCAUUAAGGUUAAUAACCUUGGUGAUUAACGUUACUCGCAGAAGAAGCACCGGCUAACUCCGUGCCAGCAGCCGCGGUAAUACGGAGGGUGCAAGCGUUAAUCGGAAUUACUGGGCGUAAAGCGCACGCAGGCGGUCUGUCAAGUCGGAUGUGAAAUCCCCGGGCUCAACCUGGGAACUGCAUUCGAAACUGGCAGGCUAGAGUCUCGUAGAGGGGGGUAGAAUUCCAGGUGUAGCGGUGAAAUGCGUAGAGACCUGGAGGAAUACCGGUGGCGAAGGCGGCCCCCUGGACAAAGACUGACGCUCAGGUGCGAAAGCGUGGGGAGCAAACAGGAUUAGAUACCCCAGUAGUC
This 465-nucleotide ribosomal RNA is filed under the name uncultured bacterium. RNAcentral describes it as "bacterial SSU rRNA". It matches the Rfam family "Bacterial small subunit ribosomal RNA", at positions 338 to 795 of the family's 1533-position model. The record is from RNAcentral.